This 305-nucleotide unclassified non-coding RNA is filed under the name plant metagenome. Its description in RNAcentral is "partial contains 5.8S ribosomal RNA, internal transcribed spacer 2, and large subunit ribosomal RNA". The stretch from base 1 to 105 matches the Rfam family "5.8S ribosomal RNA", at positions 50 to 154 of the family's 154-position model. The record is from RNAcentral.
GAAAUGCGAUAAGUAAUGUGAAUUGCAGAAUUCAGUGAAUCAUCGAAUCUUUGAACGCACAUUGCGCCCGCCAGUAUUCUGGCGGGCAUGCCUGUUCGAGCGUCAUUUCAACCAUCAAGCCCCCGGCUUGUGUUGGGGACCUGCGGCUGCCCGCAGUCCCUGAAAAACAGUGGCGGGCUCGCUGUCACACCGAGCGUAGUAGCAUACAUUCUCGCUCAGGGCGUGCUGCGGGUUCCGGCCGUUAAACGACCUUCAUAACCCAAGGUUGACCUCGGAUCAGGUAGGAAGACCCGCUGAACUUAAGC